ACAACAUUCGGACCAUUGGUCUACCGAGCAAUUUGACCCGCUCGGUGGAAGAUCUUCCCUCCGUCGU
Molecule: microRNA precursor, 67 nt
Filed under: Bombyx mori (domestic silkworm)
Lineage: Eukaryota; Metazoa; Arthropoda; Insecta; Lepidoptera; Bombycidae
Description: mir-2774 microRNA precursor family
Rfam family: mir-2774 microRNA precursor family
Source: Rfam by way of RNAcentral